RNAcentral lists this ribosomal RNA (1254 nucleotides) under Escherichia coli. RNAcentral describes it as "partial 23S ribosomal RNA". It matches the Rfam family "Bacterial large subunit ribosomal RNA", at positions 419 to 1675 of the family's 2925-position model. The record is from RNAcentral. Lineage: Bacteria; Pseudomonadati; Pseudomonadota; Gammaproteobacteria; Enterobacterales; Enterobacteriaceae.
GGGACACGUGGUAUCCUGUCUGAAUAUGGGGGGACCAUCCUCCAAGGCUAAAUACUCCUGACUGACCGAUAGUGAACCAGUACCGUGAGGGAAAGGCGAAAAGAACCCCGGCGAGGGGAGUGAAAAAGAACCUGAAACCGUGUACGUACAAGCAGUGGGAGCACGCUUAGGCGUGUGACUGCGUACCUUUUGUAUAAUGGGUCAGCGACUUAUAUUCUGUAGCAAGGUUAACCGAAUAGGGGAGCCGAAGGGAAACCGAGUCUUAACUGGGCGUUAAGUUGCAGGGUAUAGACCCGAAACCCGGUGAUCUAGCCAUGGGCAGGUUGAAGGUUGGGUAACACUAACUGGAGGACCGAACCGACUAAUGUUGAAAAAUUAGCGGAUGACUUGUGGCUGGGGGUGAAAGGCCAAUCAAACCGGGAGAUAGCUGGUUCUCCCCGAAAGCUAUUUAGGUAGCGCCUCGUGAAUUCAUCUCCGGGGGUAGAGCACUGUUUCGGCAAGGGGGUCAUCCCGACUUACCAACCCGAUGCAAACUGCGAAUACCGGAGAAUGUUAUCACGGGAGACACACGGCGGGUGCUAACGUCCGUCGUGAAGAGGGAAACAACCCAGACCGCCAGCUAAGGUCCCAAAGUCAUGGUUAAGUGGGAAACGAUGUGGGAAGGCCCAGACAGCCAGGAUGUUGGCUUAGAAGCAGCCAUCAUUUAAAGAAAGCGUAAUAGCUCACUGGUCGAGUCGGCCUGCGCGGAAGAUGUAACGGGGCUAAACCAUGCACCGAAGCUGCGGCAGCGACGCUUAUGCGUUGUUGGGUAGGGGAGCGUUCUGUAAGCCUGUGAAGGUGUGCUGUGAGGCAUGCUGGAGGUAUCAGAAGUGCGAAUGCUGACAUAAGUAACGAUAAAGCGGGUGAAAAGCCCGCUCGCCGGAAGACCAAGGGUUCCUGUCCAACGUUAAUCGGGGCAGGGUGAGUCGACCCCUAAGGCGAGGCCGAAAGGCGUAGUCGAUGGGAAACAGGUUAAUAUUCCUGUACUUGGUGUUACUGCGAAGGGGGGACGGAGAAGGCUAUGUUGGCCGGGCGACGGUUGUCCCGGUUUAAGCGUGUAGGCUGGUUUUCCAGGCAAAUCCGGAAAAUCAAGGCUGAGGCGUGAUGACGAGGCACUACGGUGCUGAAGCAACAAAUGCCCUGCUUCCAGGAAAAGCCUCUAAGCAUCAGGUAACAUCAAAUCGUACCCCAAACCGACACAGGUGGUCAGGUAGA